UACGUAGGGUGCAGGCGUUAAUCGGAAUUACUGGGCGUAAAGCGUGCGCAGGCGGUCUGCUAAGACAGGUGUGAAAUCCCCGGGCUUAACCUGGGAACUGCGCUUGUUACUGGCAGGCUGGAGUGUGGCAGAGGGGGGUGGAAUUCCACGUGUAGCAGUGAAAUGCGUAGAGAUGUGGAGGAACACCGAUGGCGAAGGCAGCCCCCUGGGCUAACACUGACGCUCAGGCGCGAAAGCCAGGGGAGCAAACGGG
Molecule: ribosomal RNA, 253 nt
Filed under: uncultured bacterium
Lineage: Bacteria
Description: partial 16S ribosomal RNA
Rfam family: Bacterial small subunit ribosomal RNA
Source: RNAcentral